This 934-nucleotide ribosomal RNA is filed under the name uncultured bacterium. Its description in RNAcentral is "bacterial SSU rRNA". It matches the Rfam family "Bacterial small subunit ribosomal RNA", at positions 56 to 937 of the family's 1533-position model. The record is from RNAcentral.
UGCAAGUCGAACGGUAAGGCUUUCACAGAUUAUUUAACCUGGAUAAGUCCGCUUUAAAACGGAUACUGUCUAAAUAAGUUCCUAGGCUAGGACCUUGGUUGAAUGAUGUGUGAAAGUACACGAGUGGCGGACGGCUGAGUAACGCGUUGGAAUGUACCCCAAAGUGAGGGAUAAGCACCAGAAAUGGUGUCUAAUACCGCAUAUGGUCCUCGGAUUAAAGCCUUCGGGCGCUUUGGGAACAGCCUGCGUAAGAUUAGCUAGUUGGUGAGGUAAUGGCUCACCAAGGCGACGAUCUUUAGCUGGUCUGAGAGGCUGAUCAGCCAGACUGGAACUGAGACACGGUCCAGACUCCUACGGGAGGCAGCAGUAGGGAAUUUUCCACAAUGGGGGCAACCCUGAUGGAGCAACGCCGCGUGCAGGAUGAAGGCUUUCGGGUCGUAAACUGCUUUUAUUUGUGACGAUUAUGACAGUAGCAAAUGAAUAAGGAUCGGCUAACUACGUGCCAGCAGCCGCGGUCAUACGUAGGAUCCAAGCGUUAUCCGGAAUCACUGGGCGUAAAGAGUUGCGUAGGAGGUUUGUUAAGCGAGUAGUGAAAUCUUGAGGCUCAACCUCAAGGCUAUUACUUGAACUGGCAAACUUGAGUGCGGUAGAGGUCACUGGAACUCCAAGUGUAGGAGUGAAAUCCGUAGAUAUUUGGAGGAACACCGAUGGCGUAUGCAGGUGACUGGGCCGCAACUGACACUAAAGCACGAAAGCGUGUGUAGCAAACGCGAUUAGAUACCCCGGUAGUCCACGCCCUAAACUAUGGAUGCUAGCAGUUUCGAGUAUCGACCCUCGGAGUUGCGAAGCUAACGCGUUAAGCAUCACGACUGUGGAGUACGAGCGCAAGCUUAAAACAUAAAGGAAUUGACUGGGACCCGCACAAGCAGCUGGA